RNAcentral lists this transfer RNA (68 nucleotides) under Pseudoxenodon stejnegeri (Stejneger's bamboo snake). RNAcentral describes it as "tRNA-Ser". It matches the Rfam family "tRNA". Rfam says of the family: Transfer RNA (tRNA) molecules are approximately 80 nucleotides in length. Their secondary structure includes four short double-helical elements and three loops (D, anti-codon, and T loops). The record is from RNAcentral. Lineage: Eukaryota; Metazoa; Chordata; Lepidosauria; Squamata; Pseudoxenodontidae.
GGGAAGAAAGCAUAAGUAUGCAGUUAAUUUGAAAUUAAUAGAUGGUAGUUAAAAUCUACCUUUUCUCG